GGAGGUCUAGCUCAGUGGUAGAGCACUUGCCUAGAAUGCAUGAUGCUGAUGCUCUGGGUUCGAUCUCUA
This 69-nucleotide transfer RNA is filed under the name Urocitellus parryii (Arctic ground squirrel). RNAcentral's name for it is "Spermophilus parryii (Arctic ground squirrel) tRNA". It matches the Rfam family "tRNA". Rfam says of the family: Transfer RNA (tRNA) molecules are approximately 80 nucleotides in length. Their secondary structure includes four short double-helical elements and three loops (D, anti-codon, and T loops). The record is from Rfam by way of RNAcentral. Lineage: Eukaryota; Metazoa; Chordata; Mammalia; Rodentia; Sciuridae. RNAcentral also lists the same sequence under 2 other names.